This 7876-nucleotide long non-coding RNA is filed under the name Olea europaea subsp. europaea. The record is from RNAcentral. Lineage: Eukaryota; Viridiplantae; Streptophyta; Magnoliopsida; Lamiales; Oleaceae.
GUGAUUUUACCCCAGUUUGCACUGAUGUGAAUGUGUUUCCACAGUGUAUGACUAGUUAUAGUGAUUUUACCCGCUCUGCACUGUCGUGAAUGUGUUUCCAUAGUGUAUGACCAGAUUAUCAGAGAUCUUUGGGACCCACUCUCGUACACACAUAAGCUUUGGGCCGUGUACUAGGGUGAUUAGCCUUUGGAGCAGCUCUGCGUACGUAUGACCAGAUUAUCAGCUAUCAGAUUAUCAGAUUUGAAUGACUUUGCCUUGUACAUCGAGAUUACUCUGUACAUGAGUAAGGCUAUUCAUUGGGUACUUUUUUUGGUGUGAUUUUUUAGUAUUUAUUCAGUUAUCAGAUUUCAGAUUAUGAAAUUCAAUUAAUUUAGUUUUCAAAAUAAAGCUUUCAGCUUAUAGUAUUGAGCAGCAACAAUAUUUAAUAGAUUUUCAUUCUUUAUAUUUGUUAUACCUUACAGAUACUUAUCUAGAAUUUAUAACAAAGAAUUUUAUAAUGUAAUUAUGUUUAGUUUUUAAAAGUAUUAUUAGAUUCAGAAAUUCUCAAGGAUUUAAUAAAGUUAAAAUUUUUAGAAAAUAUGCAUAAAUGGAAAAAGUUUACUUAAUUGCAAAUCAUCCACUCACUGAGUUAAGAACUCAUAUUUUUGUCAUGUUUUUUCUAUCAGGAGACCGUUGAUUUUGAGAUACUCGGAAAAGCCUGCUGAAGCGAAAGAAACCGUUUCAUAGUAUGUAAUGAAUAGUUGGGGGACUCAUGUUUAUUAAGUACUUUGUCUAAUAUUUGGGGGUGUCAUGCACUUUGUAGAAGGGUUUGUAAUUGAUGUAAUGCUUGCAUGUAGACUUGAUGUUGUUGUAGAAGCACUCAGUCGAAUUUUGUUAUAUUUUGUUUUAGUUGUGAUGGUAUUAGUGGAAGUGGUGGUUUCCAAAACUUUUGGUUUGAAUGUCUAUUUGAGGUUUUGAUGAUUUUUCAGGUUGGUUUUGUCCAUUUUUAAGGGGAAACUCUGUCAAAAUUUUCAUAGAAAUAUAGCACGGUCAAAUAGGUCAAGUUUACCUUGGUGGUAGGUCCGGCAUUUAGCUGGCAUCUACCACCGGCGCACGAUAUGUGUCGAGUCAAUUAGGUUGAGUUGGGAUGGGUCAUGUCAAUUGGUAUCAGAGUUUGGUCUUAGAGUUUAUGAGUAACGUUGCAUGUAUUUGAUAUUUGUAUGUCACACAUUAUUGUAGGUAAGUCAUGCGUGGUAGAGGCAAAACUCGCAGGCACCAAAAUCCAGUAUCUCAAGCUCAUAAUACUCCUGAACAAAGACAUGUUGGAGGGGUCAGUAGGGCUGCUGAAUCAGUGCACCAGUCUCGGGUGCAACCUGACCCCAUCACCAAUAGAAUACCUACAGCUAUUGCUUCCCUUCGACCAAAUACCGAUAGAGAUAACUCUAAAGAGAGAGAGAAGAAACUUGGAGCAAAAUUUUUUAUGGGUACAUCUAAUCCAGCCGAUGCUGAACUUUGGAUGAAGACUUUGGAAAGCAUAUUUGAUGUGACAGAAUGCUUAGAGGAUAAAAAAUUACACAUUGCUGUAUUUUUUUAUUGAAGAGGAGAGCUGCUGAUUGGUGGAUUUCGUUUCGAAAUCGGUAUCCAGAUCCAAGUAUUAUCACCUGAACCAUUUUCAAGGAAGCUUUCUUUGAGACAUAUUAUCCACCAUUUUAUCGUGAUGCAAAACAAAAUGAAUUUUUAAAAUUGGUGCAGGGGUCUAUGUCUGUUGCUGAAUAUCAUGUAAAGUUUGUCGAACUGUCUAAGUAUGCAAGUGCUAUGGUAGCUGAAGAGAGAGAUAGGUGUAGACGGUUCGAGCAAGGGUUGAGAGCAGAGAUUCAGCCUAUGGUUACUGCUCAUGGGCAUCAAAAUUUUGGUUUGUUGGUUGAGGCGGCAUUGAGGGUUGAGAGCAGAGAUUCAGCCUAUGGUUACUGCUCAUGGGCAUCAAAAUUUUGGUUUGUUGGUUGAGGCGGCAUUGAGGGUUGAGAUAGCUAUUCGUGAAGAAAGUAAUCAAGGAGUACAGGUGACCUUUCGAGGUGGUAGUAGUCAAUCAGGAGCUUCAGGAGAAAAGUUCAAGAAGAACAGAAAAAGGAUUUUGGCCAAGUGUCACUAAAUUUGGCAAUUUUAAAUCUAAGUCUAGGAGUUCUAGCUCUAGUCAGGAAUCAAGACAUAGUCAGAGUUUUGGACAGCAGUCAAUGGGAAGACAUUCUUAUGUGCAGGGUCCUUCACAGAGAACUCAAGGAGCGAGGCAGAGUGAGGCUUCUGAUUAUCGGAGCUUUCUACAGUGUCGAUCUUGUGGGAAGUUUCAUCCAGGCAAGUGUCUUCGAGGGGUUGGAGUUUGUUAUCAGUGUUGUCAGAUGGGACACAUAAGGAAAGAUUGUCCAGCUAGAUCUCAGCAGAUUGGAGCAUCUCAGAUAGUAUCUCCUCAGCCAGGAAUCAGUAUGACUAGUCAGAACAUGGAUCAAAGAGCUCCAUCAGCAGGGUUGAUGGGGGCCACACAAUCUAAUGCUGAUAGGGGUAGUGCUUCUAGACAAGGAGCCCAGGCAGGUCGAUCCAGGACUUAGGGCAAGGUGUUUGCUAUGACACAGCAGGAGGCAGAAGAGUUACCAGAUGUGGUAGUGGGUAUGUUAUCUAUUUUUGGUAGAAAUGCUCGUUCUUUAAUUGAUUCAGGUGCUACGCAUUCCUUUAUUUCUCACACACUUGCUAGCUAUGCUAAUCAAAUGUCAGAGCCUUUAGAUAAUGAAUUGGUAGUAAUGACUCCAGUGUGGGACUCACUUUUAGCAAAUUGUGUAUAUAAAGAUUGUGGGAUUAGAGUGAACAAUCAUGAGUUGAAAGAAGAUUUAAUUCCUCUUGACAUUCAUGAUUUUGAUGUUAUUUUGGGGAUGGAUUUUCUAUCUAAUCAUCGUGCUUCAGUUGAUUGUUUUUGCAAGGAAGUGGUAUUUAAAAGCCCAGGAGAGCUUGAAAUUGUCCUCACUGGAGAGCGUAGAAUUUUGCCAUAUUGUGUAAUAUCUGUCCUGAAUGCUCGCAGAAAGCUCAAAAAGGGUUGUGAUGCAUAUUUGGCCCAUGUCAUUGAUACUUAGUUUACAAAGCGGGCAAUUGACGAUAUAUCAGUUGUGCGAGAUUUUCCCGAUGUCUUUCCAGAAGACCUUUCGGGAUUACCCCCAAACAAGGAGAUAGAAUUCAGUAUAGAUUUGAUUCCCGGGACAGCACCUAUUUCACAGGCACCUUAUCGAAUGGCUCCGAAAUAGUUGAAGGAAUUAAAGGUACAAUUACAAGAAUUGGUAGAUACAGGUUUCAUUAGAGCCAGUGCAUCCCCAUGGGGAGCACCUGUAUUAUUUGUGAAGAAGAAAGAUGGCACUAUGAGAUUAUGUAUUGACCACAGAUAGCUGAAUAAGAUGACUAUUCGCAAUAAGUAUUCUCUGCCCCGCAUUGAUGAUUUGUUUGAUCAACUUCGAGGUGCCUCAGUAUUUUCAAAGAUUGAUUUACGUUCGGGUUAUCAUCAGCUCAGAAUUAGAAAUGUUGAUGUACCAAAGACUGCUUUUCGAUCUCGGUAUGUUCAUUAUGAAUUUUUGGUGAUGCCAUUUUGAUUAACUAAUGCCCCAAUUGCAUUUAUGGAUUUGAUGAAUAGGGUGCUUCACCCAUAUUUAGAUAAAUUUGUGUUUGUUUUUAUUGACGAUAUAUUGGUUUAUUCUCACAGUCGUGAUGAGCAUGCUGAAUAUUUAAAGAUUAUCUUGCAAACUUUGCGAGAUAAGCAGUUGUACACUAAAUUUAGCAAAUGUGAAUUUUGGUUGGAUAAAGUUGUGUUUCUGGGUCAUGUCAUCUUAGAAGAAGGCAUUUAUAUAGAUCCUCAUAAAAUUGAGGUAGUUAUGAGAUGGGAACACUCUACUAAUGUUACAGAAGUACGGAGUUUCCUUGGGCUAGCAGGUUAUUAUCGUCGAUUUGUAGAGAAUUUCUCCAAAAUUGCUCUUCCUCUAACUAAUUUGACUCGAAAGAACACCAAAUUUGUGUGAAAUGAGGAAUGUGAGAAGAGUUUUCUAGAGUUGAAGAAAAGGUUGACUUCUGCUCCUAUACUUACUCUUCCAUCUCUGGGUAAAGAGUUUGUGAUUUAUAGUGAUGCUUCACGUCAAGGAUUGGGUUGUGUUCUAAUGCAAAAUGGGAAAGUUGUAGCUUAUGUUUCAAGACAAUUGAAGAAGUAUGAGUUAAAUUACUCAACUCAUGAUUUGGAGUUAGCUGCAAUAGUGUUGGCAUUGAAGAUUUGGAAGCAUUAUCUUUAUGGUGAGAAAUGUCAAAUAUUUACUGAUCACAAAAGUUUGAAGUAUAUUUUUGAUCAGAAAAAACUAAAUCUGAGGCAGAGAAGAUGGUUGGAUUUGGUUAAGGAUUAUGAUUGUAAGAUUGAUUACCAUCUAGGGAAAGCUAAUGUGGUCGCAAAUGCUCUCAGUAGAAAGACUAGUUCUUCCUCUUCAGCUAGUGCAAUUUAUGCUUCUUUGAUUUGUGAAUUCAAGAAAUUGCAUGCUCAUUUGUCAGCUACUACUUCAGGUGCUGUAUUAGCUCAUUUUCAUGUGAGGCCUACUUUGAUUGAUAAGGUUAGAGAAGCUCAAUCUCAAGACCAGACAUUGAGAAUAUUGAAAGCAGAAGUUAGUAUUGGGUUAAGAACGGAUUAUGUGAUUAGAGAUGAUGGGGCGCUGGCUAUGGGUAAUAAAUUAUGUGUUCCAAAUAUUCCAGAAUUAAAGAAAGAGAUUUUGGAAGAAGCCCACAGUUCUGCUUAUGUUAUGCAACCAGGCAGUAUUAAAAUGUAUCAUACAUUGAAAGAUCAUUAUUGGUGGCUUGGUAUGAAGAGAGAGAUAGCAGAUUUUGUAUCCAAAAGUCUUAUAUAUCAGCAGGUAAAGCCAGUUCGUCAGAAUACAGCAGGACUUUUAAAGCCAUUGCCUAUCCCAGAAUGAAAAUGGGAACACAUUACUAUGGACUUUUUAUUUGGCCUUCCUCGUACUCAGAAUGGUCAUGAUGGAGUUUAGGUUAUCGCAGAUUGUUUGACCAAGACGGCCAAAUUUUUGCCAAUCAAAGCUACUUAUACUUUAAAUAAGUUGGCAAAGUUGUAUGUGGAUGAGAUAGUGAGCUCUUAUGGUACUUCAUUAUCUAUUGUGUUAGAUAGAGACCCUCGUUUUACAUCUAAAUUUUAGCCCAGUUUACAGGAAGUCAUGGGUACUAGACUGCAUUUCAGUACAGUUUUUCAUCCUCAGACAGAUGGCCAGUCAGAGAGGACCAUACAGACUCUUGAGGAUAUGUUGAGGGCUUGUGUUUUAGAGCUCAAGGGUAGCUGGGAUACUCAUUUGUCAUUGAUGGAGUUUGCUUACAAUAACAGCUACCACUCUAGUAUAGAAAUGACUCCUUUUGAAGCUUCAUAUGGUCGGAAGUGCAGGACACCAGUUUGUUGGGAUGAAACUGGUAAGAGAAAGUUAGAAGGCCCUGAAUUGGUUCAAAUGACGUCCGAAAAUGUGAAAUUGAUUAAAGAAAAGUUGAAAGCAGUUCAGGAUAGACAGAAAAAUUAUGCAGAUAGGCGCAGGAAAGAUCUUGAAUUUGUAGUAGGAGACAAAGUUUUUCUUAAAUUAUCUCCUUGAAAAGGGGUGUUGAGAUUUGGCAAGCGAGGAAAUUUGAGUCCACGAUAUAUUGGACCCUAUGAGAUCAUUAAGCGGAUUGGUCCAGUUGCAUAUCGAUUAGAUCAACCCGAUGAAUUAUCCCGGAUCCAUGAUGUUUUUCAUGUUUCCAUGCUUCGCAAGUACAUUGCUCAUCCUUCCCAUGUUCUAGAGUCUCAGCCAAUUCAGUUGAAGGAGAAUUUGACUUAUAUAGAAGAGCUAGUGAGAAUCUUAGGCAAGAAAGUGCAAAUUCAACGAAACAAGACAGUUUCACUUGUUAAGGUACUUUGGCAGAAUCAGACAGUAGAAGAGGCUACAUGGGAGAAUGCGGAUCAGAUGCGUGCUCGAUAUCCUCAUUUAUUCAUUGCCUGGUCAGUUUCUAGUUAAAUUUUGAGGACGAAAUUAUUUUAAGGAGUUAAGAUUGUUACAACCCACAUUUUUAUCUAGUCAAAGUCAAUAGUGAAAUUUUCAAAGUCAAGUCAAUUAAGGACUAAAAUGAAAUUAAAUAUUUUAUUUGGGUUUAUUUUGUAACUGGCAAAAUAUGAAGGUUAAAUUGGAUACAUUUCAAAGUUUGGAAUUUAUUUAUAUACUUUUGGAAGUUAUAGGAUUAAAUGUCACUCAAAAAUGGAGUUGAAGGACUUAUUUGGGUUUGUGGACCAUUAAAUUCAACCAUUGACCCAUUUUUAUCUCAAAAACACACACACACACAGAGACAGUGAGAAAAACGGGCAGCAAGCUGGAGACCGAAAAAAAGAGAAAAAAUUAGGGAAAAAGGAAAGAAAAAAAAGAAAGAAGGAAGGAAAGAAGAAAAGGGAAGAAGAAGAAAAGAAGUAAGGCUAAUCUCUUCAAAUUUGGGUUGAAUUUUUUCAUUUGUUUCAAGUGAUAAAGUAUGAAUUAUGUUAAAAUUCUAGGGUUUUAUUUUGGCUCCAAAUUUUCCGAUUUUUUUUAAAUGAAUACUAUUUGGAGCUCAAGUUAUUGAUUCUUGAAUUUCUAUCUACAUUAAGGUAAGGAGAUGUCAAUUUUUUUGGAAAAACCCUAGAAUUCGAUUUUGGGAUUUUUGAUUAAUUAAUUGUGGAAAUGAUUAUAUAAAUGGAAUAUUUCACUUGGGAGUUGAUUUUAUGGAACAAAUGUAUAUGAAACGGGUGGAAUUGUGGUUACUAGUUUCACUAGAAUGGAGAGUAAAAUUAGUUUUAAACUUGGGAAGAAGGUGUUGUUAAUAAAUUAGUUAUUAGUCAAGGGAUUAUAAAGUGUGAUUAGCUCCAAUUAAUAAAGGAAAAUUUGAGAAUUUAUUCAGGUGUCAAGAGAAUUUAAAUUAAGUUCUAUCAUUAGAUAUUAAGGUUUCUUGAUUAGAUAGAGGAUAAAUUGGUUAUUAAUAUCGUAUUUCAGGUGGUGACGAGGAAAUUGGAAACGUUUAUAAGGCAAUCUAGCUUAUAGCUCCUACCUUGUGAGUGGAUAAAACUUAUUUUUCAGAAAUAAGUCUUCUUUAAAUUUUAAAGUUAUUUAUUUUAUAAAGUUGACUUCAUAGCAUGAUUUUCAGAAUAAAAUGGAUUUUAUUAUCAAUUUCUUUUAAAGUUAAUUUCAGCUCAGUUAAAUUAUUUUAGUAGCAUGUUAUAUUCUUAUUACAUGUUUCAGUAUAGUUAAAGUUAUUUCUAAAAAUCACAAGAAAGUACCCAAGUGAUUUUACCCCAGUUUGCACUUAUGUGAAUGUGUUUCCACAGUGUAUGACUAGUUAUAGUGAUUUUACCCGCUCUGCACUAUUGUGAAUGUGUUUCCAUAGUGUAUAACCAGAUUAUCAGAGGUCUUUGGGACCCACUCUCGUACACACAUAGGCUUUGGGCCGUGUACUAGGGUGAUUAGCUUUUGGGGGCAGCUAUGCGUACGUAUGACUAGAUUACCAAAUUAUCAACUAUCAGAUUAUCAAAUUUGAAUGGCUUUGCCUUGUACAUCGAGAUUACUCUGUACAUGAAUAAGGUUAUUCAUUGGGUACUCUUUUUGGUGUGAUUUUUCAGUAUUUAUUCAGUUCUCAGAUUUCAGAUUAUGGAAUUCAGUUAAUUCAGUUUUUAGAAUAAAGCUUUCAGCUUAUAGUAUUGAGCAGCAGCAAUAUUUAAUAGAUUUUCAUGAAUAUCAGAUUCUUUAUAUUUGUUAUACUUUACAAAUACUUAUCUAGAAUUUAGAACAAAAAAUUUUAUAAUGUAAUCAUGUUUAAUUUUUAAAAGUAUUAUUAGAUUCAG